This 468-nucleotide ribosomal RNA is filed under the name uncultured bacterium. RNAcentral describes it as "partial 16S ribosomal RNA". It matches the Rfam family "Bacterial small subunit ribosomal RNA", at positions 28 to 507 of the family's 1533-position model. The record is from RNAcentral.
GACGAACGCUGGCGGCGUGCUUAACACAUGCAAGUCGAACGGAAAGGCCCUGCUUUUGUGGGGUGCUCGAGUGGCGAACGGGUGAGUAACACGUGAGUAACCUGCCCUUGACUUUGGGAUAACUUCAGGAAACUGGGGCUAAUACCGGAUAGGAGCUCCUGCUGCAUGGUGGGGGUUGGAAAGUUUCGGCGGUUGGGGAUGGACUCGCGGCUUAUCAGCUUGUUGGUGGGGUAGUGGCUUACCAAGGCUUUGACGGGUAGCCGGCCUUAGAGGGUGACCGGCCACAUUGGGACUGAGCUACGGCCCAAACUCCUACGGGAGGCAGCAGUGGGGAAUAAUGCACAAAGGGCGGAAGCCUGAUGCAGCAACGCAGCGUGCGGGAUGACGGCCUUCCGGUUGUAAACCGCUUUCGCCUGUGACGAAGCGUGAGUGACGGUAAUGGGUAAAGAAGCACCGGCUAACUACGUG